Molecule: long non-coding RNA, 1428 nt
Filed under: Homo sapiens (human)
Lineage: Eukaryota; Metazoa; Chordata; Mammalia; Primates; Hominidae
Description: non-protein coding LINC01512:1
Source: RNAcentral
UUCGCACAGUACCCACAGCUUUAUUUUGCUUCACAGCAGUACCUGACCUUGCAUGUUUACAUUUCCUUCUCCUUCUGCCUGACCAGAAUAAAGCUCCAUAGGGGUGAGAAGUGUGCUUGUUUUUUCAUGUUGUAUUCACUGUCGUAUCGUCAGCAUUUGCCUGUAGCACCAAGGAUACAUAUCUUCAUUGCUGUGUGCUUGAGAGCAGUGGGGGUUGUUUUUCUACUUGAUGCAGGGCCUCUCUGUCUCCACUGUCAAACUGGGAGCUCCCUGAGGUCAGGGUUUGUGUUUUCCUUUCAGAUUGAGAAUUCCUUAAGGAUUGAGGCUAUGAAUCUCCCAUAGAGUAGAAGCCCACACAUGCUUCCCAUGCCAGAAUGGGGUGGAACUGGAACGACAAGAUGCAGUCUUCACCCCCAUUCCUUUAGACCCAAGAUGGGAUCUCCUUCAAUCCUGGCUGGAAAGUGGGAUAGCGUUCGGAGGGCCAGUUGAGUCCUGUGGACCAGACAGCGGCCUAUGAACAGCAUUGGCCCUCCCAUUUCCAACCAUGUGAACACCUGCGGCCCCUAUGUGGAGGCCAGAGGAAGGCAGGCCCCCGUUACCCAUCUGGACAGUCCACUUGGCCCUGCUGGUAUCAUACCUUGGGCUUGCCCCCUCUGUAUGUGGCCUGGGGUCUAUUCCAGGAAGGGGUGGGCAGCAGAGGGUUGAGAGUGGACAGGCCACAGUGCUCCAGGCUGUUAAUGAUACCUGCAUUUUCCUGGGCCCUAUGGCCAGGCCGUCACCUUUCCUCCAUUUUUUUGACCUUCUCUUUUAUCUACUCUGGGGAAAAGAGAUACCAGGAUCUCAUCCACUGCUCUGGCUCCUGCCACCACCUUUGCCUCAAGCACACCCUGCAUCUCCUGUCUGAAGCCCUCACCUGUCUCCAAGACCCCUCCCUCCUUUUCUCCCAAUGAGACCUGCUCCUCCAUGAAGUCAGCCCAGCCAUGACUCCAGGUGCACCUAGCUCAGGAAGCCUUCCUUUCUAGUCUCUACAGCUGUUUCCCUCUUUUCCCAUCUCAUUCUUCCCUCUUCAUUUCUGGCCUAUCUUUUAACAUCUCCAUCCCUUUGAUGCCUCAUCCAUCUCCUCUUCACCGUCUUGUCUUUGCCUGUUCCCUUUUCUGCUUCUCUGCUCCUCUUAAGGCUGGGUUUUCCUCCUGCGUCUCCUCUGUGCGCCUGUGAGUGUCCCCUGUCUGCUCAUCCUCUCUCCCUCUGUCCACCUGUUUCUCUUUCUUCCAGCGUUUCUCCAUCUCACGCGCUGCCUCUGUCAUUUUCUCUCUUUCUUCGUCUUUCUCUCUCUCUCAUUGUUCUGAGACAUAGCAGUGCCUGGCCCAGCGGGGACAACAUGUUUCACAGACAAAUCAUCCAACAAAAGAGAGGAGGAACGUGCUUCAG